Molecule: long non-coding RNA, 2533 nt
Organism: Mytilus californianus (California mussel)
Lineage: Eukaryota; Metazoa; Mollusca; Bivalvia; Mytilida; Mytilidae
Exons: 2
Source: RefSeq, a predicted model, not a curated record
GUUUUUAUACGACCGCAAAAAUUAAAAAAUUUUUGGUCGUAUAUUGGUAUGACGUUGGCGUCGUCGUCGUCGUCGUCGUCGUCGUCGUCCGGCGUCGUCCGAAGACACAUUGGUUUUCGCACUCUAACUUUAGUUUAAGUGAAUGGAUCUCCAUGAAAUUUUACCAUAAGGUUCAAUACCACGAAAGAAAGGUUGGGAUUGAUUUUGGGGGUUAUGGUACCAACAGUUAAGGAAUUAGGGGCCAAAAAGGGGCCAAAAAUAAGCAUUUUUGUAACUUCCAGACAAUAACUUGUGUAUAAGUGUAUGGAUCUCUCUGACAUUGUACCACAAGGUUCCAUAUCACAAAGGAAAGGCUGUAAUUGAUUUUGGGGGUAAUUGCCUCAAAAUUUUAGGAAUUAGGGGCCAAAAAAGGGGCAAAAAACAAGCAUUUUUCUAGUUUCAUGACAAUAACUUGUGUGUAAGUGUUUGGAUAUUUCUGAAAUUGUACUACAAGGUUCCAUAUCACAAAGGGAAAGCUGGAAUUGAGUUUGGGGGUAAUUGCCCGAAACGUUUAGGAAUUGGGGGCCAAAAAGGGGCCAAAAAUAAGCAUUUUUCUAGUUUCCAGACAAUAACUUGUGUUCAAGUGUAUGGAUCUCUCUGAAAUUGUACUGCAAGGUACCAUACCACAAAGGGAAGGCUGGGAUUGAGUUUGGGGGUGAUGAAUCAUAAGGGGGUUCAAAAAAUUUGGGGGGGGAUUUUUUUUUUUCUUUUUUUUUCUUUUUUUCCUUUUUUUUUUCUUUUAAAAUUUUCCAUUUUAAGUUGGUUAUUUCUGAUUAAUAUUUAAAAGCAAAUAAUAAUGAUAUGGUAGGAGAUACACACCAAACAGGAUGUGUAAAUUAUUAUCUAAUAAGUAUUGUGCAAUAGCAAGAAAUUUUCAAUUGCACAGUAUUGCACAAUAGCAAGAAAUCUUCAAUUGCACAGUAUUGCGCAAUAGCAAGAAAUCUUCAAUUGCACAAUAUUGCGCAAUAGCAAGAAAUAUCCAAUAGCACAAUAUUGCGCAAAAGCAAGAAAUUGUCAAUUGUACAGUAUUGCGCAAUAGCAAGAAAUAUUCAAUUGCACAGUAUUGUGCAAAAGAAGAUACUUCGUAUAAAUUGCUUAUUUCUUGAUCAAUUUCAAUGGGGUUUUAUUCUUGAAUUCUUGGGGUUCUUUAAUAUGCUGAAUCUAACCGUGUAUUAAGUUUUUGGAUUUUUGGCCCCGUUUUUAAAUUGGUCCACAUUGAGGUCCAAAGGGUCCAAAAUUUAACUUUGUUUGAUUGCAUCAAAAAUUGAAUUAUUGGGGUUCUUUGAUAUGCUGAAUCUAACCGUGUAUUUAGAUUCUUAAUUUUUGGUUCCGUUUUCAAAUUGGUCUACAUUGAGGUCCAAAGGGUCCAAAAUUAAACUUAGUUUGAUUUUAACAAAAAUUGAAUUUUUAGGGUUCUUUGAUAUACUGAAUCUAAACAUGUAUUUAGAUUUUUGAUUAUGGGCCCAGUUUUCAAGUUGGUCCAAAUCGGGGUCCAAAAUUAAACUUUGUUUGAUUUCAACAAAAAUUGAAUAUAUGGGGUUCUUUGAUAUGCUGAAUCUAACCAUGUAUUUAGAUUUUUGAUUUUUGGGCCCCGUUAUCAACUUUGUCCACAUUGAGGUCAAAAGGGUCCUAAAUUAAACUUUGUUUGAUUUCAUCAAAAAUUGAAUUCUUGGGGUUCUUUGAUAUGCUGAAUCUAACCAUGUAUUUAGAUUUUGGAUAUUGGACCAUAAUAGGUGAAUGUCCAAUUUAAAAUUUUUAAGUUCUUAGACCACAUUCAUUCUGUGUCAGAAACCUAUGCUGUGUCAAAUAUUUAAUCACAAUCCAAAUUCAGAGCUGUAUCAAGCUUGAAUGUUGUGUCCAUACUUGCCCCAACUGUUCAGGGUUCGACCUCUGCGGUCAUAUCAAGCUGCGCCCUGCGGAGCAUUUUAUUGUAACUUCCAGACAUAACUUGUGUGUAAGUAUAUGGAUCUCUCUGACAUUGUACCACAAGGUUCCAUAUCACAAAGGGAAUGCUGGGAUUGAUUUUGGGGGUAAUUGCCUCCAAAUUUUAGGAAUUAGGGGCCAAAAAGGGGCAAAAAACAAGCAUUUUUCUAGUUUCAUGACAAUAACUUGUGUGUUAGUGUAUGGAUCUCUCUGACAUUGUAUCACAAGAUUCCAUAUCACAAAGGGAAUACUGGGAUUGAUUUUUGGGGGUAAUUUCCUCCAAAUUUGGGGAAUUAGGGGCCAAAAAGGGGCAAAAAACAAGCAUUUUUCUAGUUUCAGGACAAUAACUUGUGUGUUAGUGUAUGGAUCUUUAUGAAAUUGUACUGCAAGGUUCCAUAUCACAAAGGGAAAGCUGGGUUGGAGUUUGGGGGUAAUUGCCCUAAACGUUUAGGAAUUAGGGGCCAAAAAGGGACAAAAAAACAAGCAUUUUUCUAGUUUCCAGACAAUAACUUGUGUUCAAGUGAAUGGAUCUCUCUAAAAUUGUACUGCAAGGUACCAUACCACAAAGGGA